Molecule: long non-coding RNA, 229 nt
Filed under: Lathyrus oleraceus (garden pea)
Lineage: Eukaryota; Viridiplantae; Streptophyta; Magnoliopsida; Fabales; Fabaceae
Description: Pisum sativum (pea) long non-coding RNA (PSAT_LNC032915)
Source: RNAcentral
UUUGCAUUCAUACAUUUGCAUCAUGAGGUCUCUUAGGGACCAAAAUUUGUCUCAUUGUUCUUAUUUAAGCCCAUUCUACCGCGUCGAGACGAAGAUUUUAAUCUUCAUUUAUCCGGCUAGAAUGACCUUAAAUAGGGGCAUCUGUAAGACCCCAAUUUUGUCCCUAAGAUCCCUCAUGGUAUCAUACCAUAGCAUUGCAUAGCCUCAAGGAUCAUUGGACACCUUGAUU